AAGUCGUAACAAGGUUUCCGUAGGUGAACCUGCGGAAGGAUCAUUUCCAAACAAACAUUCUUACAAACCAACCUUGUGAAAUGUUUUGGGUUCUUUUACUCUUGGGAAUAGGAGUGUGUGAUGUUGUUGUUGCUGCUGUUGUAUUUGGUCUCCGGACCCUAUACACGCGCGCGCACACACACACCACUCUUAUCUCCCAAGAGGCCAUGAUGAACUACCUUCGGGUUGAUAGUUAUCGUUCUUUUUGUGAUCAAAAAGCAAAAAUAAAUGAUACGACAACUUUUAACGGUGGAUCUCUUGGCUCGU
Molecule: unclassified non-coding RNA, 306 nt
Filed under: fungal sp.
Lineage: Eukaryota; Fungi
Description: partial internal transcribed spacer region
Rfam family: Eukaryotic small subunit ribosomal RNA (bases 1-46)
Source: RNAcentral